Molecule: ribosomal RNA, 253 nt
Filed under: uncultured bacterium
Lineage: Bacteria
Description: partial 16S ribosomal RNA
Rfam family: Bacterial small subunit ribosomal RNA
Source: RNAcentral
UACAGAGACUGCAAGCGUUAUUCGGAUUCACUGGGCGUAAAGGGUGCGCAGGUGGUUGAGUGUGUCAGAUGUGAAAUCCCGGAGCUUAACUCCGGAGCUGCGUCUGAAACUGCUCAGCUAGAGCAUUGGAGAGGGAAGUGGAAUUCACGGUGUAGCAGUGAAAUGCGUAGAUAUCGUGAGGAACACCAGAGGCGAAGGCGACUUCCUGGACAAUAGCUGACACUCAAGCACGAAAGCGUGGGGAGCAAAAGGG